UACCUGGUUGAUUCUGCCAGUAGUCGUAUGCUUGUCUCAAAGAUUAAGCCAUGCAUGUCUAAGUAUAAGCAAUUAUACCGUGAAACUGCGAAUGGCUCAUUAAAUCAGUUAUCGUUUAUUUGAUAAUACCUUACUACUUGGAUAACCGUGGUAAUUCUAGAGCUAAUACAUGCUGAAAAUCCCGACUUCGGAAGGGAUGUGUUUAUUAGAUAAAAAACCAAUGCCCUUCGGGGCUUUUUGGUGAUUCAUGAUAACUUUACGGAUCGCAUAGCCUUGCGCUGGCGACGGUUCAUUCAAAUUUCUGCCCUAUCAACUUUCGAUGGUAAGGUAUUGGCUUACCAUGGUUUCAACGGGUAACGGGGAAUUAGGGUUCGAUUCCGGAGAGGGAGCCUGAGAAACGGCUACCACAUCCAAGGAAGGCAGCAGGCGCGCAAAUUACCCAAUCCCGACACGGGGAGGUAGUGACAAUAAAUACUGAUACAGGGCUCUUUUGGGUCUUGUAAUUGGAAUGAGUACAAUUUAAACCUCUUAACGAGGAACAAUUGGAGGGCAAGUCUGGUGCCAGCAGCCGCGGUAAUUCCAGCUCCAAUAGCGUAUAUUAAAGUUGUUGCAGUUAAAAAGCUCGUAGUUGAAACUUGGGUCUGGCUGGCGGGUCCGCCUCACCGCGUGCACUCGUCCGGCCGGGCCUUCCUUCUGAAGAACCUCAUGCCCUUCACUGGGCGUGUUGGGGAAUCAGGACUUUUACUUUGAAAAAAUUAGAGUGUUCAAAGCAGGCCUUUGCUCGAAUACGUUAGCAUGGAAUAAUAAAAUAGGGCGUGCGUUUCUAUUUUGUUGGUUUCUAGAGACGCCGCAUGAUUAACAGGAACAGUCGGGGGCAUCAGUAUUCAGUUGUCAGAGGUGAAAUUCUUGG
Molecule: ribosomal RNA, 910 nt
Filed under: uncultured fungus
Lineage: Eukaryota; Fungi
Description: SSU rRNA
Rfam family: Eukaryotic small subunit ribosomal RNA
Source: RNAcentral